AUGAACACAGCUAUUCCUUUAGUUUUCCCGCAUAUCUGCCACAGGCGUUGUUUGUUUCAUAUUAAAAAGAAGGUUGAGGAAAAAUGUACUAGGACUUUUGCAACACAUAAGACACUACAUGAUGAUUUCAGUGACAUCAUUCACAACUCUCUGACAGUGGCUGAGUUUGAGCAAUUGUGGACAGAAAUGGUGGAGAAAUACAACAUUGGGCAUGUGAAGUAUUUUCAUAUCAUGUGGAAGAAAAGGAAAAGGUUUGUCCUUGUGUAUUUCAAGACGGACUUCUUCCCCUUCAUUCACUCUACUGCGCGUAGUGAAGUCACCAAUGCCAUUUUCAAGGACAACAUCACGUCAACUCACAAUGUGAUCAGCUUCCUCCAAGAGUACCAGAAGAUUUCAGAGACCAUACAAGAUAAGGAGAGGCAGCAAGACUCUAUCACAAGAACAACUUCGUCGACAUUCUGGGUACGAAGUGAGCUUGAGAUACAAGCUGCAAAAAUGUACAACAGAAAGAUAUUUUACAGAUUCCAAAAAUAG
This 534-nucleotide ribosomal RNA is filed under the name Triticum aestivum (bread wheat). RNAcentral describes it as "partial small subunit ribosomal RNA". Lineage: Eukaryota; Viridiplantae; Streptophyta; Magnoliopsida; Poales; Poaceae. The record is from RNAcentral.